Molecule: small nuclear RNA, 107 nt
Organism: Echinops telfairi (small Madagascar hedgehog)
Lineage: Eukaryota; Metazoa; Chordata; Mammalia; Afrosoricida; Tenrecidae
Source: Ensembl
GUGCUUGCUUUGGUAACACAUACACUUCAACUGGAAUGAUACAGAAAAUAUGAGCAUGGCUUCUGUGCAAAGAUGGCACAUACACCUUAAUGGAGUAGUAAGUAUUU